CUCAUGGUAGCAUAUUUUAAAAAAAAAAGGUUUCCGUGUGGGAAAUAAUUUUUAAAAGAUUUUUCUUGGUUUUUAUGACUUAGUAUUUUAAAAUGAAUUUUCAGGUAGGAAACAUUUUAAACUAAUAGUUAUGCAUUUAUGGAUUAACUCUGAAUGUCAAUGGUGUAUGAAUGUGUGUAUACUCAUAUGUGGUGGUUGUAUCCUGUAUUAUGUAUCUUAUACUUGUGCAACGCCGUGCAAAUACAGGGCAGA
RNAcentral lists this long non-coding RNA (252 nucleotides) under Ananas comosus (pineapple). RNAcentral describes it as "long non-coding RNA (ACOM_LNC043210)". Lineage: Eukaryota; Viridiplantae; Streptophyta; Magnoliopsida; Poales; Bromeliaceae. The record is from RNAcentral.